RNAcentral lists this ribosomal RNA (400 nucleotides) under uncultured bacterium. RNAcentral describes it as "bacterial SSU rRNA". It matches the Rfam family "Bacterial small subunit ribosomal RNA", at positions 356 to 773 of the family's 1533-position model. The record is from RNAcentral.
GGGGAAUAUUGGACAAUGGGCGCAAGCCUGAUCCAGCCAUGCCGCGUGAGUGAUGAAGGCCCUAGGGUUGUAAAGCUCUUUCACCGGUGAAGAUAAUGACGGUAACCGGAGAAGAAGCCCCGGCUAACUUCGUGCCAGCAGCCGCGGUAAUACGAAGGGGGCUAGCGUUGUUCGGAAUUACUGGGCGUAAAGCGCACGUAGGCGGGUAUUUAAGUCAGGGGUGAAAUCCCGGAGCUCAACUCCGGAACUGCCUUUGAUACUGGGUACCUAGAGUAUGGAAGAGGUGAGUGGAAUUCCGAGUGUAGAGGUGAAAUUCGUAGAUAUUCGGAGGAACACCAGUGGCGAAGGCGGCUCACUGGUCCAUGACUGACGCUGAGGUGCGAAAGCGUGGGGAGCAAAC